Long non-coding RNA from Triticum aestivum (bread wheat), 4140 nucleotides. RefSeq lists it as uncharacterized. The record is from RefSeq and is a predicted model, not a curated record. The transcript has 5 exons. NCBI's taxonomy places the organism in Eukaryota, Viridiplantae, Streptophyta, Magnoliopsida, Poales, Poaceae.
AUUCAUUUACAAUUCCCAGCUGCAUAUACACAAGUCGAAAUGGUACAUAUCCAUCACCUCCUUUUAUUAUGCACACACAAACAUACAAUGUCAUGUAUACUACUGACGGCGCUGAAUAAAGAUUCUUCGGAUCCUUCUUUGACCAAGCCAUCGGUCGUAUGGUUGGGGAUGAAUUUGAAAAUCAGUAUGUUCAAGCAAGGAUGAUGGCAGUAGCGGCGUCCUCGUGGUGGACUUGCGUCCUCGGGCUCCGUCAUUGCAACGGCGUUUGCUCCAGCGUUGGCGCGGAGCUUGGGAGGUAGUCCAGGAGCGGAUGCAGAUUGUGGUUUGCAUCGACGACAUCUAGAAGACGAAACGUGUGCUGGGUCCGUGGUUCGUGGAUGGCAGGUAUGAUUUCCUCCUUCGGCGUCUUAGUCGUGGCGGGGUGCUAGAUCUGGAGUUCGAUGGCGUGUCCGGAGUGUUGCCCCGGUCUGAUUUGUUCAACGGUAAGAGCUUCACUUUUGAUGAGCCACAUUAGAAGUCCUCAGAGCUGCAUAUCAGCGAUGGAGUCGUGUGUUGAGUUUGGGUGAGGAGGUGAUCUUUUAUUCUUUCUUCGGUGGCUGUGGUGGUGCCAGAGACAGUGACGGGCGUUGGUGUCAUCUAACAUCUUUUCAGUUUUGUCAUGUCGGUCCUUACGUGACUUGUAGUUUUAUCUUUAUGAUACGGAUGAGACACAUAUCUUUCCCUAAUACAACCCAUUAACGGUGGCGCAAAGGGCGCAUCCUCGCGCAGUCCACGUCGGCAAGCUACUAGACAAAAAAAGAAACCAAUCGCCAUCCCCACCAGCACCCGUUCCCCAUCCCCAAUUCCUCCCCCUCUUCCUUCUCUGGACGACCUCCCCCGCAGACGCAGCCGCCGCCGCACAGCCUGCGCCUCCACCCAUUCUCUCCUCCCCUCCACCGCCAACCUCCUCCCAUUCCUCUCUCCCAGAUUGAGCAGCAGGUCCGGAUCAAUGGCCACGGUGGCGUGAGCGCCACGAUGCAUCACGGCCACGCAAGGAGGAAGCUCGAUGUGGAUCUGACCCUGGUGCCGACACCAUGAACAAGUCCUCGAUGCGGCCACCACGCAGCUGAUGGCUGCUGGAAAGCUGCGAGGAAGUCGCCGGCCAGACGAGGGCAAGGGCGCCGAGGAGGUUCUCCAGCCGGACGAGGGCAAGGGCCCGAUCUCCCUCAUGUUCCCAAUCUUCAGCGCGGCAACCAUCGACCAGAUCUUCACCACCUCAGAUACACUGUCUCUUCCCCAUGGGCCCGCUCAUGCAUGGUGAAGACCCCCUGCUCCGAGGUGGUGCCGUGGUCAAGAGGAGAAGCACAGGUCACCAACGUUGCCGAGCUUCUAUGGAACGACACGGCCUCUGCUUUAGUCCCUUCUGAUUUGCCUCCUCCCCUCUCUUUUCCACUCCGUUUUUUGAUUUGCCUGAACCUCGCGUGUUAGAUUAGUGACUGGUCUAAAUGGUUAUAUACCUAUGGAUAUCUGGAUUUCAGUUUCCUUACAUGUAUAGGAUGCUUGGUCUCUGCAAUUUAGCUUUCACUAUUUAAUAGUACAAAGCUAAUCUUGCUAUGAGCGAGCAUGUAUGCUUCAGAAAUAAUCAUCCUGGUUAAUAGAAUAGUUUACAAUCACAUUAAAGGUAAGCCAAGGUGAGUGUUUUGCAUACAAGAUGUUUGAUGUUAUGCCAAGGCAGGACAUUAUUGAUAUCGUGUGAAACUGAUGCUCACAGCAGAUUCAGGAGAUAAAAAAUGAGUAGAAUAAUAUAUCAACAAAAGUAGACUGAUCCAAGUUUUAUUUUUGUAUCAGAAUAUGGAUGGAGGAUGGGGAAUACAUGCAGAAGGCGGAAGCUCCAUGCUCAGCUCAGCUCUCAACUACACUGCUCUAAGACUACUUGGUGAGAAUGUCGAUGAUGAGCAAGAUAUGUCCGUGCCAAAAACAAGGAAAUGGAUACAUGACCAUGGUGGUGCAAUGAUGAUAAAACUGGAAGCAAGAUGCUUGGAUUUUUUGACAGGUCAGGUGUAAACCCUACCCCCCAGAAUUGUUCCUUCUGCCAUCCUUGGUUCCUAUUCAACUAGGUACGCAGAGUCGGUGUGGGACUAUUCGAGCUUGUGCCUGCAAAACUCUACUGAUGGAUGAUUUCUGCCAUGUUUUUUAUUCAUUUUCAUGUGGAAGUAUUUGAUAUAUCCUGGGUAUGGAUGGUUUGUUCGAAGAAUGUUCCAGAAUUUGUGAAUCUUACUGUACAACAAUCAACACGAAUGCUGAAACAUUGAUUCUUGCUGAAGAGCGGCCACGCCAUGCACCAGCGAGAUCCGUGUGUGGAGUGCAGUUGAGCAAGAGUCGAUUCUAGGCGAGGUGUGUCACAUUGGUCUUCUGCUUCUCGCCGUCUAGCCUCACCGCCAAGCGGCCAGAUCCACACGAGGUGGAUGCCCCACGCAGGGCCCUCUCCCCUCCUUCCUCUCUUGUUUCCUCCAACUACCAUGUCUUCUUACCUUGUUCUAUUGUUUUUUCACCCAUGGGGAUAAAGAUGAGUUAAGGUUGUAACAUCCAUACUAAUUUGUUGGUUUGUCUCAACCAGUGAUCCAAAGUAAACCUAUGAACAUGAAUUUUUUGGGUAUACAUUGUCUCCUCCUCUGCCAAUUGAUUUUCUUCAGAUUAGUUGUAUCAUAAUUUUCAAGAAGAUUGCAAACCUAGCAAUGAAUGAGACUAUCAUCAGGAUUUAAGAUAGUUUAAUAUUAUAAUUAUUUCUUUUGAAGUUUCACUGUUUAUGUAGGUGACAAUGCUAGAUACAUCUGUAUCAUGGCACUUCUCCAGCAAACAAAAGCUUGGUGGCCAUCUACUUUACUUCCAGAGAGUUUGAAAACGUACUAUCACGCUAAUAUUUAGUAGAAAUGUAUGACAAAAAAAUAGUUAGAUGGUAUUACUAUGUAUACAUGUAUACCCAAAAAUAGCUUUACAGGUCUGCUGUUGCUUUAAUAUGUUGUAGUUUCUCUGUACAUUCUUAUGCUAGAUUUUGUUGUUCCCAUGUGACAUACUUCUAAAAUUCAGGUCCUUUGAACAUAUCAGCUUUUCUCACUUAUUCAGAUUAAUGCUAAGUGUUUUUUCUCUUGUAUACUGAUCUACAAAAUUACAAUUGAGAUAUUUUCCUCCUCUAUUUUUCUUCUUGUCACCGUAGCAGCUCUUAAUUCCUUUUGAGGUCCACCAAGAUAAUGCAAUAAUCCCUGGAAAAUAUGUUCUGUACUUAAAUAGACAUCAGACUGAAGAAUAGAAGGGUUGGAUGCAAGUAUUUUCAUAGUUGAUCUCCCUUUUGUCAUCUUUUCUGGCUUUUAUUCCACUACUCCCCAGUCAUGCAUGAAUGCUAAUACAUCAGAUUUAUGCAGUCAAAAUGUUUGACUAUUCAAUUAUACAUGUCAUGCUGCAGUGCUUACUUUCUUACCCCCUUCAGUAAGUGCUGCAAGACCAAACAUCGUUUUACACAUUUGUUUUUGUAAUGAUAGCAUUGACUUUGUUUUUUUCUGCUGCUUACUGAUGCAGAACCUGAGUUGCGGGUUACCGAACCUGAUGAAAACGGAAGUCACUCCGGCAGAGAUGUAGUGUUGUGCCAAUUUGAGGUUGAUGGGGUUAAUGAGGAAAAGGAUUAUGAACUAUGUGUAGAAAUUACCCAGUAUUGCUAUGCCAAGAAAGCAAGAUAGUCGAUGGUGGCAAGAAGCCAUGAACCAUCACUCUGCUAUUACUGAACAAGAUGAUAUCUAUUUGGAAAAAGGGCCCAUGGGAAAGAAUGCUGACGUUGGGGGCAAGACUCAUCGAGCAGGUGGCAAGUGAGAUCUUCAAAGCUUCGCAAGGAUGGCGCUUCGGGGUUCCGCGGUUGAAGGAUUAGGGAAGCUGCGACAUUUCAAGAGCUUGCUGCUGCUUUUGCUUUAGAUUUGUCUUCUCCUCCGUUUAGCCUUUUGUGAUGGAAACUUGUAAUGAUCUGACUAUCCGGGGGGUGGGGGCUGUGUCCCUAGCCACUCCUUGCGCGGGUUUCGCUUUUACUCUCUGUUCCGCUUCUUAUUGUAAGACUUCUAGACUGCUCGUGGCUUCGGCCUGGUUUCUAUAAUGGAAAUCGGAGGGGAAACCCUCUUU